AGUAAGGGAGGUUUGGAACCCGGCGCAUCCCGGGGGUUUCGUUAACGCUUCAGGUUUUCGGCUUCUCCGCUCUGGGAGCGGCUGACGGGAUCCUCGCGGCCUCGCGGGCUAUUCCUGGGAGGGGCGUUUGUUUGGGAAUAAGGAAGGUCUGGAGUAGCGCCGUUCCCUGUGGAUGUACUGCGGGAGGCGAUGGACCUGUCCAUUGGGAUGUCCCGGGGCCGGAGGGUUGUUCAUUCGGCGGUCUCUGAACCCGAGUUCUCCACGCUCUCCCGCAUCCUGGAGGGAGACAGAUAAAGCUUGGAAGCUCCGGAGGUCCUGAUGGGAGAAAGGCAGAGGCUGCCGAGGUCAGCGGCUGUGCGAGGUGCUGAUGCCAGCUCGCCGGGGAUAGUCGGGGGUCUGUCACCAGGGGAUCGUUGACCGCCGUGGCUCAGGGAAGGGAUUUGAGCUCAAUGUCCCAAAUAGGAGCUCCCCAUUCGUGCCUUUGGCGACUAAAGCCGCCAUCGCCGCGGUUCAGGAGCAGACCUAAAUUCCCCCAAGUUCUGGUGUCAGCAGGAAGCGUCGUGGAAAUGCACAGAAAUUUCUUGGAGUUUCGCAUUGCCGGGCUCCUGCUCUGGUCAGUCACACCUCGGGUCUCCGGGUCGCCGCGGGGAGAACGGAGCCACUGCCAUAUUAAACCGAACCUGGCAAAUAACAGCCAAAUUAAAUUGCUCUGAGAAGUUCUGUACACGAUGUGUUAGCACACAAAGGUUUUAAGUUUAGAUUUCUUUGCUCCACAAAGCAUUUUCAUUUGAACUGCCACUGAUCAGCCUCAGAAUAAGCUCCUAGCACCUAGCCUAUCUCCUUUGUUUCUUUAGAAAUUGGAAACCAGGCUGAAUGCAGUUCAGUGUUCAUCUCAACAGCAGCAAAGAAUAGAUUUCCUGUAUCCAGACAAUUCAGCUUUUUCCUCAGAUGUUUCAAGUUCCACUACUGUGAGAGUGUACCCUCAAACUGUAUUUCUGGGUCUGAUGGGGAAAAUGGCAUCUGCGCCGAAGGAAGAACAUUUCACAGCAUGUAUUUCAGCAAUAGUCAACUCACAUCCAAUCCCAGACUGAAAUCCAGUACCCAUGUGUACAUAGGCUGGUAAACUAGAGUGGGCCUAUGAGUAUGAAGGUAAUCUUCAGCUCCUCUCAGAAAUGCUUUAUUUGUAUCAGAGGGUGAGAAAAACCUGUGCAUUUUCAUAGAUGUCUCUUUUCCAGUAAAGGUGUACCCAUCCACCUUAGUCCAAAUCAGUGAUUUUGUCUCAAGUGAUGCUAGAGGUGCCACAAUAUGGACGAGGCCAUUAGUAUCACUAUAUGCCAGUCCCUAAUGGAAACUGGAUUGUGGUGACUAGAGUAAGGAUUUAAGGCGCCUCAUGGCAUGUCUCAACAGGCUUUACAACCAAGUUCAUCUUACUUUUAUGCCAGUAUUGAUCCCAAGUCAACAGUAUAUUAAUAUAUAUUAUCACUUAAACUUCAGGUAAGUCACAAUCAUAUUUUCACCUUUCACUUUUAGGGACUUUGAGAAAUGGAAGAGCAGCAUUUCUUUGUUCUUUAAUUAGAGUAAAUCCUAGAGCUUGGUUUUGGUUCAAGGAACUUGACCAUAACAUCUAUGAAAUGCCAGAAUCAGGCAUAGGAGUACAUCACUUUUCUCUGUACAGCAGGUUUAGCAAGACUUAUUAGGCUAAUGAGGUUGGAUAGCUGUAUAAAUAGCUGAAUAUCUUGAUACGUGCACUUACAUCAAUGGUAAUAAUUGACAGGUCAUAUUUCUGAUCUUUGUAGUGGACAAGCUUGGAUGUCUUAAAAAUGCAUUGAAUUAUAAUGCAACCCAGCAAUAUGAAAAUAGAUACAAAGAUAAAACUGGUGAAAGGACUCAUAGCCCAAUACUUGAUUUAAAAACUGACAAAUAAACUUCUAAAUGUACAGCAAACUAACAACUGAUAAUAUGCUACUAAACUCAGGUCAAGCUGAAGUUGUUUCCUGUGCUUCCUGAAGUAGCAUAUUGUGCUUGUAAGUAUAAGUCAAAUUUUUAUUAGUGCAUUCUUUAUAAAAUUCAGCUGGAGCAAGAUGACAGAGUACCUAUUACAUGUAAUUGUUGCUUGUUGGAAAGCAGUGUGACUAAUGUUUGGAGGUUUGCUGCUGCUAUCUCAUACCCAUUUGUCACCAGAGGAAAUUGCAGGGUGCAUGAUAUUCAGAAGCCAGUUCUCUUUCAGCUCCUGCAGUCAUGCUGCUGUAUGGGCAUUAGAGGGAGGGGUGUUGUCCCUGUCACUUGUUUUGUCACCAGUCACACAGAUACAUUAAAGUGCUCCACCAUACCUAUGGCAAGCACACAUUCCAAAGCAUUAAAACUAAAUUUCAGGGUGUCUUCCUUACUACCAGCUUUUGCUUUAAUUAAACCUCUGGCUGCUGUGCACACAUCCCAGGCAGAUGCUCCUGAAAUAAAGACAAGAUAAAAAACACCAAAACUGCUUCAGAAUAGAGUGUCUUCAACAAAAAAGGGGCAAAUAAAAGAAGUAUAUCUUGCAUAAAAUACAGGUUAGAAGCAGAAAUUUGUUCUGAUGUUAACUGAAAAAUGAAAUACAUAUUAAAUGAUACAAUCUCAAGAAACAUUGUCAAAACACUGCGGCAAAUCAAAUUACUACACAGAAAUACAGUAGUGUCUCAUCUCACAAGUCCAGUCCCCUAUGGAGAGAAAACUGUGAGAACUGGGAGUCUUUGUGGGGAUCAGUCCUUGAGAUGUUGGCAGCACCCCACAAAGAGACCAGAGAGCCCAUCAAUUUCAGCAGAAGCCUUAAAACUGGCUAUGGAAAUUCUAUCUAUCUAUCUAUCUAUCUAUCUAUCUAUCUAUCUAUCUAUCUAUCUAUCUAUCUGUCUUUUUAUAUGCACUUAGGGAAAUCCAUGAAGACUUUCUAGAUCAUGGAAACCAAAAUGAGGCAAAACUGUAACAGUAAAAAAUGUUUUUACUGUUUACAGUAAGAAUGCACAAAGCAGCCCAGUAUCCAACAUACAUUAAGAAUAAGCUUCCCAUGUUAUUAGCCUGCUUUUUGCAAAUGCAUUGCCAUUUUAAUUAGAAUAAUUAUGAAAUGCUGAUACAAAUGGUUAUUAAUCAAAGCAUUUAUUUAAACAAAUUAGUUUAUAUGCUUACCUAAACAUAGAAUAAUUUCAGACAUCCUCUAUAAAAUAAAAAGCUGAAUGUAAGUACUGUACACAGGUUGAGUUACAGUGUACUUUUAACUGCUUACCAAAGUGAUGCUUUGUAGCCUUUCUCAGGUCUCCAAAGAGAAAGACAGUUUUCAGAAAUGUUAUUUAAUCUUUUUAUAAUUCCAACAGUUUGCUCUCCAUGUGCUUACUUCCCUGGUUUGUCAUCCACUCUGUUCUUAAGUCAAGCAUGGAAAUAAUUGUGCCAAAUGUAAAUUGAAAACAUUUGAUAACACUUAGACGUCUUUAUGCUGGUUCUUGUCUGCAAAAUUAGCUAACUGUAAUUUUUAAUGUUAUAUAUUUUUUCUUCAAAUUCAACUUUCAAAUUUAUUUCAAAUAAAAGUCAGUUAAUUCAUCUUUGGACAUGGAGGUGAAAACUAGCCUUACAUGCACAGAAAUGUACUGACAAAGGUGAUCUCAUAAUGUAAAAGUGUGAUUUAUUAGAGAAGAGCUUCAUUUUCCAUAGUCAGGGUUUUCAGAACAACCAGUGACAUAUCCAAAUACCUCUGGAAUUACCACCCAAACAAUUGAACUAAAUGAGGCACUGGGGACUAACUUGGCUCAUAACUGGGAGCUGCUGACAGCACGAUGAGCCUUGCUGCAGGGGGACAAGAACUGUCCUCUCCUGCCCUUGUCAUUCGCAAGGGACAGUAUCCCCAUGCCUGAGCAAUGGGAAUGUGCAGCCCAGCAUCCUUGAGCAAACCAGUGAUCAAGGCAGCAGUUAUCCCAAAAAGCCUUUUUUCCCCUCAGAAGCAGUGGAUGUCUCUGCUGUCUGCUCAGGGUUAGACAUUUGGCAGUGCGGCAGAGAAGACAACUGGGACACUCAUGGUUUUUAUUACACUGUUCAUCUGCCAACAUUUUACAGAAUCCAUAAAAACCACAAAAAGGAGUUUACACUUCAGGGAGGACCCACAGUAUUUGUUUCUUGGUUAAUGUUUUUUCAAUCAGCUACAGAUUACUGCUAUAACAGCUCUUUAGUCUUUACAACUGGUUUUCUCACUUGUGUUUAACGUGUUAAACACCUCAGCUCUAAUAUUUCUUUUUUUAAGUAGAAUAACGAUAACAACAAUGGAGCAAACUUGGAAAGUCUUGAUAUAUACAAUUUUAAAUAUCUGCUUGCAGUUGAAAAGGUGAUUUGCUUAGCUGCUGUCUUCAUAGCACCGAAAAAAAAUUUUGAAUAUUUGAAAGAUCAUUAGAAUUUUUCAAUACAAAAGAUACAUACAUAAGUAUGAAAGCAAGAGGAUGCAAGCCAAGCAAAACUGUAUUUCCUUACACAUGGAGGAGAUGGAUCAAAGUCUUAGCCAUUUUCUUAUUUCAGUAACUAUUAAAAGAACAAAUUUCUUCAAAUUAAGCUGCUGGCUUGCAGCUCUGGAUUUUUUACAGAUUUCUUACAGCCUCCUCACUGCAAUUUGAGAUACCUGGAUUCCCUGCUGCUCUGCACAGAUCUGUAUAGAUACUUAAACAAGUAGUCAUUUUUUCCCUCUCCCUAGAAUCUGCUACUGUUAGAUCCACCUUCACUCAAAUCCCUCUAGAGUGUGUCUAAUCCCAUAUUUGUUCACUAUAUCCUGUCUGCAUUUUUAAAAUACAAUACAGAGCCUAAACCUUAUAUCCCAGCUUAUCUACCACAGCUGCUCUACAUCAAGGCUGUGGCUGGUCCCAUCCUUGGGGAGAGGGAAAAGGGCUUUUUCUGUGGGCUGUGCCUGGAAAUCACCAUCUUUUCUGCUUGUUGAUGCUCCAGCUGCAGGCCACUCCAAACAUCACGGAAAGAAGUACCUGCAAGUCUUUGCUUCAGCAGGCACAGGAAUCAAUAUUUGCUAUGACAAGGACUUAGACCAGCCACGUUUCCAGUUCAGCUGUGCCUGUCUGGGCUGUAAAUAGACCCAUAUCCCAUCCUUUCAUUUUUAUCAGCUUGGAAAUUCUAUAGAAGUCGUUCAACAGGAGAUUCCAAGGAUUUCACAGGAAACCUUCCAUUACAAGAUUAUAGUGAUAUGCAGCAAGGCCAAUAUGAAUAUGCAUCUGCAGGGAGCAUAUUUCCAAGAAACCUCUGUCCAGUAAGAUUGUAACUCAUGAAUAUUCGUCUGGAAGAAGUGUAUUUCCAAGAAACCCAACAAGAUUACAACAUUUACACCCAAAACAACAUGAAUAUUUGUCUACAAGAAGUGUAUUCUAAGAGACCCCUGAAAAACCUGAAAACAUAUAAAAAGCACCUUGGGAUAGCUGCAGUUUGUGAAGCAUGGUGAAGCGGUGCUAGCAAGCCCUUCCCUGCCUCACCCGAUGCUGUUCACCUGGGACAGCGUCAAACUGAAUUUUGCUUAUGGCUUUUCACAAUUGUAUUUUUUAAUAAAUUCUUUUUUAUUAAUCAAAUUGCCUACUCAUUUAUAACAAGGACAACUUUGACCACCACUCAGUAUCUAAACUGUAAAAAACUAAUUUAUCUGUAGAAAUACUUUGUAGGGUCUGAAAAUUUAUUUCCAAAAAGGGUAGAUUUAAGGGAAAAAAUACACUUGAGUGUUCUUUCCAGCAUCAAUGAACUGGUAUGAAUUUGCUGUCUGAGAACACAGAAGGGGAAAGAGCUGCUCAGCAACCACUUCAGAGCUGUUAGGUGUCUCACUAGUCCUAAUGUAUAAUAAAAGUUGAUUUACAUUAUAAAAAGAAUUACUUGCAUUGUUUCCUUCUUACCAGUGAUUUACAUGUCAACAGGCAGACAAAGAUGUAUUAAUUUCAUGGCAAUGAUAUCACAAAGUGCCCUUGUUCAGGUAUCACUGAGGUCUCAAAAUCCCUGACAAGAGAUUUCCGAAUUUAACAUUCUUCACAUCUCCACCUCUCCCACCCACUCCAGGAUGUCUCAAGACUCCGUUUAUCUUUAUUAGGUUAUUAUCCUUAUUAUUCUCCCAUCUUGGAGAGUAAUCUUUGUCUGGGCCUGAUCAGGCAAAACACAAGAGGCUCGUACUCAAUACAGAUUUGAGUAGAAACUGGAACACAACAAUUUAUUUAAAGAAGCGUCUUCCUCAUGCUGCAUUCCUGUUACCCAACCACACCUUUCUGCCCUUCAGAGGAGCUUACAAAACUGGGAACCUGCUUAACAAGUUCACAUCAACCUUUUAUUACCCACAGGCAAAGACAGUUUCCUCCUUGUACUUGCUACAAUUCAGCUCUUCCACCUCCUCUUCUCUGGCAUUACAUGCUCCUUGUUCUUCCCAACCCUGCCAGACUCACUUCUUACCACACACCAAACAAGAGACCAUUCUUUGGAUUGCUUUAACCAGGUAACUUGUUUCACUUCUGAAGUGUCCCCACGAAUCUCACGGCCUGAGUUAUGAGUAAUUUUUUAAUUAACUUUUAUUAAAACCAGUGUACAUGUGCUUUUUCAGAAAAGGCUGUUCACAUGAAUAGGAAAGGUAACCCUAGAUUCCCUACUGGAGCUCACAAGGAUGGCUAUUUUAGCUUUUGAUUGUCUCUCAUGAAACAGAUCCAAAACUACACUACUGUAGUUUAACAAAACUGCCAGCCUUUCACUGGUGGGUUCAGUUGUGUCCAGAUACCACAGUGAUAUGUGGAAUUAGAAUGCACCAGGCCCAACCUUCCUUCACAUACAGCAAAAUAGUGUUCAUUGCAGACAAGACUGAAACCCCAAGACGAGAAGUGCACUAGGCAGGGCUGAUAAAAUGUGUAACUCACAAAGUUAAAUGUUCACCAUAAAGCAUAUAUCUUUUGCAGAUGCAGCAAAUAAAAGAACAGCUACAGCAAAUAGACACCACAGCUGGCAUGUUUCCUCACAAGGUUUGUGUAUUCCUCCUGCCAGCUUCUCCAGGCUCACUUGAACAAACAAUGAAUGUCCUAUUUAAUGUGAAAACAGCAAGAAAGCAAUUAAAAAUUUGAACAAAUGUAGCAAAAGACUUGAAAACACUCAGAUUAUGAACCUGAUGGGGUUUCUUGGUCCAUUUAACAUUAGGCCACAGAUGUAGCAGGUGGGAGAUACAGUAGGAUGGAACUACACACCAGGUGUCUUCUAGUGAAGAGUGGAAUCAAGCAAGCAGAAAAGCUCAGCAGUCUUUGAUACUUCAUGUUUGAAAAAUGGGAUCAUCAUUGAUCCAAGUCCAGCUCUUCUUUUGACUUCACAGUCAAGCUCUCUAUGAGACUGUGGCACUACCUACCCAAAAGAUCAGUAUUUUUACCUGCCUGUGAUCUUUUACAUUAAGGACUGUAACUCUGUGGAUCAAAGUAGGAAUUGUAGAUGUGAAAGACAACUUCUACCUCACUAGCUGAAAUCUGUGGAGCUCAGCCACAGUGCCUGAGGCAGAGCUAACCCCUGUCCUUACGAGCGCCCCAGAACUGCAAACACGAACACGCAACACCCAUGGAUGAAUACCUGCAUUGAGCUCACCAUGGCUGUUUACAUGCACAGGAUAUGUAACUUUGCAGGAUUUAAGCCAAAAUGCAAAACUGAUUUCUUACCUUGGCUUCACCACAGUAAGUUCUUCAUGCAGACACAAUACAAUUUCAGAGGCAAGAGUCAAGUUUUUAAAGAAAUCAACUGUUCCAGCAACGAUGACUGAAUAGAUCAAAACAGCAAACAACACUAUUUACUCACUGCUUUAAGACUGAAAAUACUAAGCUUUUGCCAUGUGGUCUUAGAAGCAAUGAAGCGAAGUAUUUGGUACAGAUCUUGAGGAUAUGACAAGCAUUGCAGCCAAGAAGACAGUUAUUUUCUUGUUCUGUUUGACCCAACACUUGACAAACCUGUGUUUUGAAUAAGUACAUGCAUUGAACAUGGCUAGGAAAAGUCACAUCAGAGAGCCUGGCUAUUACUGGAUAUUACUAAGCCUGCUACUAACCACUUCACAGCCUUGCUGUUUUGAUAGGCUUUAGAUACUCAGAGGGCUGCAGGGCAGUCAGUGUGCUGUACUGGCUGGCCCCAGCUAUGCUCAGUCCUAGGUUUAUGUGUUCCAUGCAUUUAGCCUUUUUCUUUAGCCCACAUAGGAUAACCUUCCUUAGAAGCCAUUUCAGCUUCUUAAGAGCUGAAGAGCAUUUUGAGAUUGUGAGAAAGGCCCUUCUUUGGCAAUGGGCUGUUGGAAUUGCAACUUGUUUGCUUGUACUGCAGAGAUCUUACUCCUCCCUCAAGCCCUGAGAAAAUUCUCAAAGCCGUAGUUGUGUGUAAUUAUAUCUGGUUGCUCAGUUCCAUUGCCUAAAGUCCUUAACUCCUUGUUCCUCCUCAAAAUCCCCUUUUGAAGGUGAUAUGAUAUUCAUUGGUAGUCUUUUCCCCGUCCAACCCUCUCUUGCUGGGUUCCCUUUCUGUCUGUACCAUGUCAGGGUUAUGCUGCAGGCAAGACCUUCUUAUUUGGGUGCUUCCCAACAGUCUGACCUGCAGCUAAAAGCAACUGCUCCAGCAGCACAGGGUUAUCACACUGCCCAGUCACUGUGUCACACUUGAUCUCAUUCAUUCUUCUAGAGAUUUAUCUCCAAAGAAACCCAACCCAAGAUUCUAAUAUAAAAAUCCUAGAGGUAAUUCUUUCAGAUUUUCAUUGUUCUCCCCAGUUUCCAAACUAGAAACUUCUUUAAGGAAAAUUAAGUGUAAAUGCAGCAGGCUUUCCUAGCAGGUAAGAAAUGAAAUUGCUGGUGUAAUGCUCUAAUUACUACCAAAAUAGACUGUUACCUGCCAAAUCAAUACAUAACCUUAAAUAUGCUGAGUAAUAGAGAUAAGCAAUGGUACUAGUAGAGGUCAGCUUUCUUCUGAAUCUUGAAAAUUCACAUUGCUAAAACAUAAGAAAACUCAUUUUUCUUUUGAUGUGAUAAUUCACUGCAUGAUUUAACUCAAUAUUAAUACAGUUAGAAAAAUUAAUGAAUAGUGUAUUAGAAAAAUACUGAAGGACAAACAAGCCAAUGCAGCAGUUAUUAAUAAAAAUAGCUGGGUUGAGUAGCAUUACUGCUUCUUUGCUGCAGUGAUCAAGUCAAUGCCUGAAAAGCUGCACUUCAAAGAUGCAAGUUGAAGACUGCUUUCAGAAAAAAUAACAUGUAAGACUGGAACUAAACAGGAUUGAUUUUAAUAUACAAAAUGGCUUCAGUGAUAAUUUAAAAGCCAAUGUAAUGCUCUAAACCCUUUUAGAUUCCAUUUCAAAUAAACCACAAGGAAAGGUCUUGGGUUUUUUUUAUGAAGCUGUUAAGAUGAUAAUAUUUCAAAGUUAUGACGCAGAACUCCCUAGAGUAAAGCACCCAGACCUGCAGUUAUCUCUGCACCACCCACAAGAGUGGAUACAAAAAGUAAUGACAUUGGGCAGGUUUCACCUUGCUCUUAAAACAUACAGCUUAUCUGAAACACAGUAGGUGAAAAUAUAAAACCCGAAGCAGUGAACAGUGAGUUGUGAAUCAGCACUGUCAAAGGAAACAGAAAUACAUACUGGACAAUUGCAGUUUUUUAUCACUAAAGCAAAGAGAGGCUGCAAUCUUUCGAGUUUUUUUCUGUGACAAACUCAGCCUAGAAUAUAAUACAAAUCUGUAUAAAACAAAGGGGAGGAAAAGAUGAACCUGGAUGUACUUUAAUUAAAUAUAACCAGAUGGCCUGUAUGCAGUGCACAGAUUUGGGUCAGCCUUUGCUGUUAAGUGAAAUUCAUCUGUAAAAACCAGAAAAUCUACUACCUAUACAGAUUUGUAUUUUACUGGUGGACAAAUAUGGAAGGCAUCCUUGAAAAGUAUAUCCAAAACAUAUUUGGAAAUUUUCUUAUUUAACUUUUUUUCCCAAAAGUUCCCAUGAUUUGGACUUUGUCAGCCCAGAGGCGCUGACAGCCCAUCUUGCAUUAUAAAUCAACAGGAGCUCUGUAAGAGUGAAAGUCUGAGCUAAUCAUCUGCAGCAUGAGGGAAGGAAGACAAAGUUCAGGCCAGCAUUAUUCUGCCAGCUGCAGAACAUUCCAGCUGUCUGAACUGUUUACAAAUUAGGAAUAUAGUUGAUGUAGAUUAUCCCAGAUGGCAUAUAUCAUAGGAUUAUUUAUUUUUAAAUGAAUAACUGCAGAACUACAUCCAUGGGAAGUAUUUAUAGUGCACACAGUUCUUUGAAAGAGCUCCCCAGCUUGGCAGUCUGUCACAUGUACGAAGCACAUGGUGAUUAAAACCAGAGUCAGAGACAAUAAUUGCAAGUUAUGCACCUUCAGGAAGUUACAACAGACCUGCUAUCAGGGCAUUAGCUCUCAUUUAGCAGAGACACUAAAGGUACAAGUAGUUGAUCAGAAUACUUUCAGCUAAAGUUCAGAUUAAUAUAUUUUCACUACCUAAAAUAAACAUUUUCUUCUAAACAUUCUUUACUUGUCUGGUAUUAUUGGUAGUCAGAACUUUUAAAGUAGUUACUAAAAAUAAGGUUCUGAGUGUCAGUGUGCUGUUCAAGUAUGAGAUCUGUAAGCUAAGCCAGACUGCCAUCCUUCACUCUGUUACAUUUUGCUUUUGAACACAGAUUUCUUUUAUAAGAGUAAAAACACCCAGAGUGAGAUUUUUACUUUCUUUAAUUUAAAGAUUGUAUUACAGAAAAGUUUAAGUAAGGAAUCCUUAUAAGGAUUAACUCUUGACAUAAUAUAUUGCCAAGAUACAGUGUAGCUGCAAGGGCUCCAGGUGAACCUUCAUAUAAGUUGCUUUCUUACAUACAGAGUCGCUGAACAACAUAAAUUGUAUUCCCCAUCUGUAAGAGAAGACAGUGGUAUUGAAACAGUCCUUUUACCAGUGUGUUCUGGUUUUCCCAAAUUAGAAACAUGCCAUAUUAAAACCGUAAAAUCCUACUGUAUAGAAAGGUGAUAGAGAUGAACUUUCUAAAGAUUGCAACUGAUGAAACAUUAAAAUGAAAACUAAGGAGUGUUGAUAAUGUAAAAUGGUUUCUCUUUUACUGGCAGG
Molecule: non-coding RNA, 11081 nt
Organism: Cyanistes caeruleus (blue tit)
Lineage: Eukaryota; Metazoa; Chordata; Aves; Passeriformes; Paridae
Source: RefSeq, a predicted model, not a curated record